This is an RNA transcript of Carya illinoinensis, 930 nucleotides long. It is a transcript of the gene named pre-rRNA-processing protein TSR2 homolog, with no coding region annotated. The transcript is spliced from 4 exons. The record is from RefSeq and is a predicted model, not a curated record. Lineage: Eukaryota; Viridiplantae; Streptophyta; Magnoliopsida; Fagales; Juglandaceae.
CCUCUCUGUGUCUGGACUUUGGAGGAGGCGACAGAGACGAGAGGGAUCCAACCAGGGCUUCAACCGGAGGUCUCAGGGGCGGCCAAAGGUUUUUCCUCGAUAAUGGAGCCUAUCAGUACUGGAAACCGCGCUGCUAGUGCUCUUCAGAAGGCCGAGGCAGUCUCUCAUCUCCGGGAGGGGAUCUCGUUGCUUCUCUCCCAAUGGACAGGCCUUCAAUUGGCCGUCAAGAAUGGGUGGGGCGGCCAUGACUCCCUCCAGAAGUCCAAGCAGCUAGCCACCGAUAUCUUAUCCUGGUUCUUUCAAUCCAAUGCACAUCUGAGUCUGGAGGAUAUAGAGAAUUUUCUCCAUGAAAGCAUGCUGUUCUCUUUCAACACGGAGAUUGAAGAUGGUAGCAUUGAGGAGGUGGCAGAACAGUUGAUGAUUAUGCAUGAAGAAUAUUGGCAUGGAAGCCAUUAUUAGUCAACAUGAUACUAAAGGACCAAACUCCGAACCAGAAACUAAUUAUCUUCGAAGCAGCGGGUGGCUACGUACGUACAGAUACAGCCAUCAGAUCGAAGAAGUCCUUAAACUUCAUGUCUUGCUAUAGAUGUCCUUGCGCAGCUGGCUCAUAAAGAUUGGCAAUAAGGGAAGAGGCCACCUAGAUAGCUGUGGCAUCGAAAGCUGUAGUUUGGUGCAAAAAUUCUUCAAAACUGACCACAAUACAGCAGCUAGCCUAGAUUAUGAUCAGUACAUGGAGGAGAUGGAAUUUACUUCAAAAAGCUUGAAGACCUGAUGAAGCUGUGUUUUUUCCUCUUGUAUUUUUAACAAUUCUGACACUGGUAAUUAUGUGAUGCUGCUAUGAGAAUAUUGCUGCAAUGCUUAGUACGUAGUAGAGGGAAUUGACUUUAUACAUUAAGUGAAAAGGAGAAAAAUAAAAAAGGAUUGAGCUCA